CAGUCUGGGGAAAGCCUCGAGUGAGGAGGGAUUGUCUGUACUGCUGGGCUGGCCCCUUGUGGCCACCUGGGGAUUUCACAGCAUUAUUCCUUUCCAAUGCAAGUCCAUAGGUAGGAUGAUUAAAUUGCUCCAAGAUUCUGAUUCAAGGUCAGUUUGACAUUUUCCCACGUUAUGGUUAAGUUUAGGAUUGAGGGUAUGGAGAGCUGAACUGAGAUGAGAGCCAACAAAAACUUGGUACCCACCGGACAGGGCGACUGCAGGAAGACUGUAACCUUCUCGUCCUCCAACAUGAGUUGCAGGAAGAGCCUGCGGAUGAAGCCGGAGAUGUUGCCAGAGAUGGGCACGUUUCCACGCUGGGGGGCCGACUGGAAGAGCUCACACAGCACCUACGGAGGGAGAGAAACCACCAUAAACACAAGUUAGUAAAACCAUCACAGAUACCGUUGGUCAGGUGGAAAUGUGUGUGGUCAAGGCAUUCCACCAGACCUGUGCCAUGAGCCGCUGGUUGUUGGGGUGGCAGGAGAUGCACUGCAGGAAGAAGGCCACUGUGGCGUUCUCGAUGGCUGUCCUCUGCUGGGUGGUGAGCCCGCUGCCCCGGGACGAGGAGGCUAGAGAGUAGCGCGACCCAGAGGGCAGGGGUGGGGGCGGAGGAGGGGGGCAGCACGCACCACCGGAGGCAGCAGAGUGGGCUCCCGUGUGCCCCUGGCCACCACUGGCUCCCCCUGCGCUAGCGCUGGAGUGGCACAGCAGGAACAGCAGAGCAGUCCACAGAGAGUUCACCUCAGGCCCACCCAGCCAGUCCUUCAUGGCAUGACUGUUCCCCACCUCUGUGAGGAAACGCAGCACUGGGGCUGCCAGCUCUGCAGACAGGGGCACCCUGCUCUGAGAGGAAGCGGAGGAUGAAGAAGAGGAGGAGCAGUGGGGGUGGUGGUUGUGAUGGUGUUGCCGUCGUUCAGCCUGGGCGGUGGCGGGCAGGGGCAGGUCAGCGGCAGCCAGGAGGCCACAGCAGAGUCCGGCCAGGCUGCGGACUAGCAGAGAGGGCAGGCCCGAGUCCAGCAGCUGCUCUAUUGCCCCGGGUGACUGGGAGGCUGAAGCCAGAGUGGCCAGUUCCGACUCGGACAGUGCGAUGGGUGGACGCGCGUGCUUGGAGUCGUCGGUGAGGCCGGUGGCAGCGGCGCUGGUGGUGGCGUUAGCAUUGGCGCUGCUGAGGUCAUGCUGCUUCUUUCCGUCGUCCGUCAUGGAGAGGCGGUGCUGGGCCUGAGAUUGGGCGGCGGUUGGCGGUGGGGGCAGCGGCGCUGGCCAUUGUGGCCUCCACGUCACUGACGUGGGUCAGACAGUGGUGGAGCAGACGUAGCCAGCCAAUACUAGG
Molecule: long non-coding RNA, 1369 nt
Filed under: Salmo salar (Atlantic salmon)
Lineage: Eukaryota; Metazoa; Chordata; Actinopteri; Salmoniformes; Salmonidae
Description: lncRNA (ENSSSAG00000096284.1, ENSSSAG00000107685.1)
Source: RNAcentral